This 74-nucleotide transfer RNA is filed under the name Streptococcus dysgalactiae subsp. equisimilis. Its description in RNAcentral is "tRNA-Asn". It matches the Rfam family "tRNA". Rfam says of the family: Transfer RNA (tRNA) molecules are approximately 80 nucleotides in length. Their secondary structure includes four short double-helical elements and three loops (D, anti-codon, and T loops). Lineage: Bacteria; Bacillati; Bacillota; Bacilli; Lactobacillales; Streptococcaceae. The record is from RNAcentral.
UCCGCCAUAGCCCAGUUGGUAGUAGCGCAUGACUGUUAAUCAUGAUGUCGUAGGUCCGAGUCCUACUGCCGGCG